RNAcentral lists this ribosomal RNA (22 nucleotides) under Desmodesmus tropicus. Its description in RNAcentral is "partial 26S ribosomal RNA". Lineage: Eukaryota; Viridiplantae; Chlorophyta; Chlorophyceae; Sphaeropleales; Scenedesmaceae. The record is from RNAcentral.
UGAGCUCAGGCAAGGCUACCCG